RNAcentral lists this ribosomal RNA (454 nucleotides) under uncultured bacterium. RNAcentral describes it as "bacterial SSU rRNA". It matches the Rfam family "Bacterial small subunit ribosomal RNA", at positions 340 to 786 of the family's 1533-position model. The record is from RNAcentral.
UACGGGGGCAGCAGUGGGGAAUAUUGCACAAUGGGCGAAAGCCUGAUGCAGCUAUGCCGCGUGUAUGAAGAAGGCCUUAGGGUUGUAAAGUACUUUCAUCGGGGAGGAAAAACAAAACUAAUAAUUUUAUUUCUUGACGUUACCCGAAAAAGAAGCACCGGCUAACUCCGUGCCAGCAGCCGCGGUAAUACGGAGGGUGCUAGCGUUAAUCAGAAUUACUGGGCGUAAAGAGCACGUAGGUGGUUUUUUUAAGUCAGAUGUGAAAUCCCUGGGCUUAACCUGGAACUGCAUUUUGAAACUGAAAUACUAGAGUAUCGUAGAGGGAGGUAGAAUUCUAGGUGUAGCGGUGAAAUGCGUAGAUAUCUGGAGGAAUACCUGUGGCGAAAGCGGCCUCCUAAACGAAUACUGACACUGAGGGUGCGAAAGCGUGGGGAGCAAACAGGGAUUAGAUACC